GAUGAACGCUGGCGGCGUGCCUAAUACAUGCAAGUCGAGCGAAUGGAUUAAGAGCUUGCUCUUAUGAAGUUAGCGGCGGACGGGCGAGUAACACGUGGGUAACCUGCCCAUAAGACUGGGAUAACUCCGGGAAACCGGGGCUAAUACCGGAUAACAUUUUGAACCGCAUGGUUCGAAAUUGAAAGGCGGCUUCGGCUGUCACUUAUCGAUGGACCCGCGUCGCAUUAGCUAGUUGGUGAGGUAACGGCUCACCAAGGCAACGAUGCGUAGCCAGCAGGAGAGGGGGAUCGGCAACACGGGGAGUGGGACACUGCCCAGAAGCCUACGGGAGGCAGGAGGAGGGAAUCUUCCGCAAUGGACGGAAGUCUGACGGAGCAACGCCGCGUGAGUGAUGAAGGCUUUCGGGUCGUAAAACUCCGUUGUUAGGGAAGAACAAGUGCUAGUUGAAUAAGCUGGCACCUUGACGGUACCUAACCAGAAAGCCACGGCUAACUACGUGCCAGCCGCCGCGGUAA
RNAcentral lists this ribosomal RNA (515 nucleotides) under uncultured bacterium. Its description in RNAcentral is "partial 16S ribosomal RNA". It matches the Rfam family "Bacterial small subunit ribosomal RNA", at positions 28 to 523 of the family's 1533-position model. The record is from RNAcentral.